GUCGAUUGUCUAGAAAGUAGCACAAAAUCUUUCGGUAGUAGUUGAAGCAUCUACGACUACAAAAAUUAUGGGUGUUACUUGAGAUUCGACAAAAUUGGUUUUAUAAAAACAGCGAGUUUAGUCAACAUUGGAAUUAUACAUAUUGUAAAAUCCUCCAAGGAACACCAUUCAAUUUCAAUUGGCUGAAAGAAAGUCCAGUCCUCUGGUUCUUCCACCAUUCGAUCGGAGUCAGUUAUCUUCUAAAUCUUCUAACUGGUCGGCAGGUGACGUCAUUGAUAUUUAAUCAUACUAUCCUCUAAUUUUAAAUUAUAUACAUAAAUAAUAGCCACACAAAGAAACAUUAACAAAAUUAACAGUAGAGAUUACUACAGAACCAAUCAUCGCAGUUACAUAACAUUAUAAUUUACAAAAAUGUUUGGAACUUAGUUCUCUGUGCAUUUUAUGUUUUAAUUUUUUAUUCAUAUUGAAUUAAUUUGGGUGAAAUGUUUCUUUGUAUUUUACCGGCCGAUGACAUUCCUUUGAUAUAAAUUUAGUAAUAUUAAACGAUCAAAUUUGCAAUAAUUCCACGCGUUCGUAAGAUGACUUAUCAUUCAGUAUUUGUAGAAAGAUCAUGAAUAUAUUCGUUUAUUUACAUAAAAGUUAUUACGUCGUAAAAAUGGGAGAGUAUAAAGAAAAUAUAUUUUCAAAUUUUAUUACAAGGCAGAUAAGAAUGCGACACCAGUUAUUAAAACAAUUUGUGAUAUUUAUUGAUCUAUGCGUUACUAAUGGACGUCGCAUAAAGCUACAUCAAACGUUUUCUAUUUGAAAGUUAUGAUGUACGUGAUGCAAAUGACGUCUACAAGGAACUAAACAUCGAUCAUAAAACAGUUUUGAACUGUUUGAAGAAGGCUGUAUACGAAAAAAGAGCCAAUGUUUGUGUGUCGCAUGAUUAAAUAAUGGAAAAUUUAAUGGAACGAAUUUCUAUCUGGGAAUUGUUACUAAAACGUAAUAAAAUCGAAGCAUUCUUGAAACGGCUCAUCAUGGACGAUAAUGUA
Long non-coding RNA from Vespula pensylvanica (western yellowjacket), 1034 nucleotides. RefSeq lists it as uncharacterized. The record is from RefSeq and is a predicted model, not a curated record. The transcript is spliced from 3 exons. NCBI's taxonomy places the organism in Eukaryota, Metazoa, Arthropoda, Insecta, Hymenoptera, Vespidae.